UCCAACAGACUACUUAUUCCCAAGAUUUGAGGUGUGACUGCUUUUCUAUUUUAACAAUCAUUAAUGGCGGUAUUCUCAUUUAAACUGGUACUGCUAAUUUCAAAUUACUUAUUUAGCAGGUGCCAAUUUCUUAUUCCAGAAGCACAUGUUUGGAUGUUUAGUUUGUUAAAUUUUCAAAGGAAGAGCUGAGUACACACUAAUACAUGACUAAUUUGUGGAAUUUGGAUGUUACCCAUGCUCAUGCUAUAGUUGUUGAGCAACUAAUCUUAUCAUAACAUCAUCUAAGCAUCCAACCUCCAUGUUGCCUAUUUCGUUCACCAUGAAACCGGUAUGGCUGGGCUAAUGAAGGUAUAUCAAAAAUCUACAGUGAACCUUUUACAACCUCCAUGGUAAAAGAAAACCAGCCAACAGGCAUCGGACCAGCCGUGCUCAGCGAGCUUUAGACUUGGUUCAGCAUCUGCAUCAUUAAAACGACAAGGUUACAUAUUUGCAAUACAAGGUAAACUAAUUCAAUCUUAUUACCAUGUUAUAGAGUGCUGCCUUAGCAUAUAUUCAUCGUUGCUCCAUCCUUUAAAACAAGCUAUGCAUAUUCAAUUAUUCCCUGCCUGUGUGUGAUAGGAAUGUAUUUUCGAAAGUAAAUACAGAAUGCUCGACUUUUUCCACUAUAUAUGUGAUAAUAUUAGAUCUAAAAAGGUAGAAUUAAUCCUUUAAAUUCUCCAUCAUAUAAGAAGGAAAAAAAGUAUUAGUUCCCUCCUUAUCUCAGACAUCUGGGAUCUACAGUCUCUUGGUUUAGUUCUGUGGUUGACUUGACUUUCCAGGCCCAAUAAUAAUGUGGUAUCACAUUUCUCAAUCUUAUAAGUCGAAAAGUGAAAAAAGUGACUUAUUUUACCAAACAGACCCGACUUAUAAGUCACCCCAACUUAUAAGUCAUAAGUUGCUCCACCCCAACUUAAAACUUAUAAGUCACCCCCUUUUGCAUGGGUCCCACCACCUGCAUGAUGUUGAUUGGUGUGGGAAGGUGUGGCAGGUGACUUAUAAGUCAGGUGACAACCAAACAGGCGUGACUUAUAAGUCACCGGUUUUAAGUCACCUAACUUAUAAGUCAGGUGACUUAUUGGAACCAAACAGGCCCUAAGGUCUAACGUGGUAUAAUGCCGUGCUCGAGUAUUCACAAAAUCAUGUUAGUACAAUGGAUUGCUGUUAAUUAACUAUUUCCUUCAGUGUACGAGCUUAUCUUGAAUUAAUUUGAAAAAACAAGCCAUUAUGAUUAUCAUCUUCUUAUAUGUACAUCUGACAUUGUUGGUGAAGCUACAGAGUUCAGGAACUCUGGCAGACUUCUUGCAGGUAUACAAGGAGCAUUGGAGCAAGAAUAGGAUUGGUUUUUAUUUCUCAGGAUUUUUAUGUUAUCUUGCAAUUUGUGACUUGGUCUCUAAUGAGCAAGGGCGGCCUAGGUUUUUGUUUGGGAAUUUUGCUUAUGUGUGUUAUUUGAUUUCAGACAUGUCUAGAUACAGAGUAUUACCAGGGUGGGUAAGAUAUGUAGGUGAUAUGCAAUCCAAAUAGUGGAUGCAAUUCACCAUAGAUGUGGAUGUACUUCCGCACAGAAAACUCGAACACCACCUUUGAUUUCUUUGGAAAGUAGAUAAGUCGUUUUGGAGCAUUGCAUGGUUUGCCAGUCUACUUCCCUAUGUUUCUUAGAAGGAAAAACCAGGUGUUUGUUUACAUGGAUCUGUUCUUUCAGUUUAAUGCUCACACAAUGAUCCAAUACAAUAUGUGCAUAGUAGAAACCAAAAUUAUACUCUGUUCUCAUUGAUUUUUGUUCAUAGUGUUACUUGCAGAUAUGGAGUGUAUAUGCAUUCAACAGUUAAGAAGGUUGUACAUUAGCAUAAUUUUCUUGAAGCAACACGUGAGAUAAAAAAUGAUGCUCAUGUUAAUCUCUUGGUAAAGACUAGCAGCACAGUUUUUGACCUCCUUGACCCCAUUUGAUUUUAUAGGAAGCCCUCUCCAACGCCUACUCAACAGAAAAAGUAGUUCUGUAUCUUUUAAUUUUCAGCUUCUAAUACUUUUAAUCAUAUAUAUUUGUCUAUAAUAAUACCCUGUCCUAAUCAUUCAUGUUCGUACAUAAAUUUAAUCUUGAGUUCUUCCAUUUAUUCUAUACCUCAAUGGAAAAUGGCCCCAAUGAAUAUUCUGGAGAAUCAAGAACAGUUGGUAUAGGUAAUGUUUAAUCAGUUACUUAAUCAUCUCUAACACUUUUAGAAUCGAGCUGUUGUGGGAAAAUAGAUCAAUAUUUUACCUUUCUCUAUUUUAGAGAGUCUUAGUUACGUCAGCCAGGUUCCUAUCCAUGCACCUCUCUUCAAAAAAGUUUCCCGUCCGUGUGGGGUAGUUUUUGACGAGUUACUAGGAGCCUUCAAAAAAAUAAGAGUCAAGAGCAGUCGCUAAAACAUGUGGGGCUAUAUUUACCAAAGAAAAUAAAGAAUCUAAGGGAAAUAAAUCGGCAAAACAUAUUGUGUACAAGGAGAUCCUUUUGUGCAAGAGACCUUAGAAUAUUUCUAUUUUACUCUAUGUAACGGUCUUAAAGAGGAAUUCGUACAGUUUUCCGAUGAAUCCAAUAUUUCUGCGGACACAGAUGGCUAUAUUUGCAAAUUAGAUCUAGCACUAAAACAAUAUGUAGUUUGUCCAUUGCAUAAUCAGUAUUAAAAAAUUAAGAACUAGAUGAAUCAUGAAUGUGUACUUUCAGUUUACUAAGUAUCUGCAAAUUGCAUCUCACGACUCAUGCCCUAAUCUGUCUCAUAGCUCUGACCUGACCACAAUAUAUUUGUACAUACAUCUGUCAAUACCAAAUAAGAGAUCCAUCGACAUCUCUUCCUUGGGCACGAUCGAGCAUGGAGUGGCAAGAUUUUCGUUUUCCUAUCGGAAUAUACUUGGAUGAUUUCAUAAAUGAUGAUUAAGGUGGUACAACCGACCAAGCAAAGGUUAGAUUUGAUUACUAUUUUCCUAAUAUGCUAAGAUCAAUUGUGUGAAUGGAAGUCCAUGUGGUGUGAUUAAUUAUGGAGCGGUUGGAUCUUCUUAAUAUUCCCACAUUAUAUGCCUAAAUGGUGACAAAUAUGGUCUGUUCUACAGGUAUGAUAGCGACCACAUAAGCUCGGGCAACAACACACGGAAUUAGCUGACGCAGGUGACCUACCGAUUCAGCUCAGGCAAUCUCCUUGACGACUCCACUACCACCCAUCUCUACACAACACCUACAUCACCUCACUGAACAUCUGCAUACAGACCCAAAUGGGAAAUAAGACAUGCCCCCAAAUCAAGUUCCCAGUUCUUAAGAUAAUACAUACAGAAAAUCAAAUGAUUUAACCACACCUGAUGUAUCCCGUGGUGGUUGCUUCUCUCUCACUUCCAGGUUGUUUAGCAUGAUAAGAAUUAGUGCUGACAAACUGAAGGACUAGAAGGUAUACAAUCAAAAGGGGAACAGAAUGUAUAGCCAGCGGCUAGAUCGAGGAUUUCAUUUUGGGGGAUCGGCGAGUGGAGAGAGGGAGAGGCGUCGACGCCACGCGUGGGAUUGGAACUAGC
RNAcentral lists this long non-coding RNA (3567 nucleotides) under Triticum aestivum (bread wheat). Its description in RNAcentral is "long non-coding RNA (TAES_LNC016008)". Lineage: Eukaryota; Viridiplantae; Streptophyta; Magnoliopsida; Poales; Poaceae. The record is from RNAcentral.